RNAcentral lists this ribosomal RNA (448 nucleotides) under uncultured bacterium. RNAcentral describes it as "SSU rRNA". It matches the Rfam family "Bacterial small subunit ribosomal RNA", at positions 26 to 518 of the family's 1533-position model. The record is from RNAcentral.
AGAGCGAACGCUGGCGGCAGGCUUAACACAUGCAAGUCGAGCGGGCACCUUCGGGUGUCAGCGGCAGACGGGUGAGUAACACGUGGGAACGUACCCUUCGGUUCGGAAUAACGCUGGGAAACUAGCGCUAAUACCGGAUACGCCCUUUUGGGGAAAGGUUUACUGCCGAAGGAUCGGCCCGCGUCUGAUUAGCUAGUUGGUGGGGUAACGGCCUACCAAGGCGACGAUCAGUAGCUGGUCUGAGAGGAUGAUCAGCCACACUGGGACUGAGACACGGCCCAGACUCCUACGGGAGGCAGCAGUGGGGAAUAUUGGACAAUGGGCGCAAGCCUGAUCCAGCCAUGCCGCGUGAGUGAUGAAGGCCUUAGGGUUGUAAAGCUCUUUUGUCCGGGACGAUAAUGACGGUACCGGAAGAAUAAGCCCCGGCUAACUUCGUGCCAGCAGCCGC